GGGGAAUUUUCCGCAAUGGGCGCAAGCCUGACGGAGCAAUACCGCGUGAGGGAGGAAGGCUCUUGGGUCGUAAACCUCUUUUCUCAGGGAAGAACAAAAUGACGGUACCUGAGGAAUCAGCAUCGGCUAACUCCGUGCCAGCAGCCGCGGUAAUACGGAGGAUGCAAGCGUUAUCCGGAAUGAUUGGGCGUAAAGCGUCCGUAGGUGGUUAUGUAAGUCUGUGGUUAAAGCGUGGGGCUCAACCCCAUAAAGGCCAUGGAAACUACAAGACUUGAGUGAAGUAGGGGUAGAGGGAAUUCCCAGUGUAGCGGUGAAAUGCGUAGAGAUUGGGAAGAACACCGGUGGCGAAAGCGCUCUACUGGACUUAAACUGACACUGAGGGACGAAAGCUAGGGGAGCGAAAGGGAUUAGAUACCCCUGUAGUCCUAGCCGUAAACGAUGGAUACUAGGUGUUGCCCGUAUCGACCCGGGCAGUGCCGUAGCUAACGCGUUAAGUAUCC
RNAcentral lists this ribosomal RNA (500 nucleotides) under uncultured cyanobacterium. RNAcentral's name for it is "bacterial SSU rRNA". It matches the Rfam family "Bacterial small subunit ribosomal RNA", at positions 356 to 869 of the family's 1533-position model. Lineage: Bacteria; Bacillati; Cyanobacteriota. The record is from RNAcentral.